CAUGCUUCUAUUGACUUUGAUCUCCCAAGGGCACCUGAGGAAAGAAAACGCAAGCCCUCUCUCUCUCUCCAGCCAUGAGUCUCUUUGGUCUGGGCAGGUGAGUUGAAAGACUUAAACAUUUACUAUAAUUUUCACAAUCAGUUCAUUACGAUCGGAUCUCUUACGUUUCUCAAUCGUUAUUCGGAUAAGACUACUGAUCCAUACGCCUAUCUAGCUUUUAUUACUUUACUAAUCAGUGAAUUGUGCUCUUAGUUCUUUUUUUUUCUUUUAAUUUUUUUAUGCGAUUGAGUUCUUCGUUAGUGUUGUUGUGGGUAAUCUCUGGUGAUUUAGUAGAAUGCAAAUUCACUUCGCUGAAAAGAAAUGAAAAGGGUAUUGGUAAUUGAUUCUGAUAUUAGAUAGUUGAGAUUUGAUCUUCUUAUUUCUGUGUAGAUAUGUUUGUAUUAGUUAUGCCAACUUUUGUUUUUAUAUUGAUGAUUCUGUUUGCAUCCUUGCAAUGAAUAAAUCAUCAGUUGGAGGUGGGCAUGCACUACUAUCAUUCAACGAUUUUUUUAUAACUUUUAUUAGAAUGAUAUCAUCAUUAAAGCUUCUAAUAUGGGUAUUAAAGCUUUGACAUUAGGUGUUGGGGUCUAGUUGAAUUAUUUUGAAGAUUUGAUAGAAAAAUCUAUGGCAUCUUUUUGAGGAGCAAAUGCCCAAAUUCUCGGAUUUAAUGAAUGGCAUAUUUGCCAUUAAGUUUGAGAUAAAACUUGUCAAAAGUUGAGACCAUUGAUCCAAAUAAGUUUCUACAAUAUAAAACGCCUAAUGAUUAAUGCUAGAGUACCAACAAAACUCUUAGUUUAAGAUUACUCUUACAUGAUAAAUGCAGAGGAUAUCUCCCUUGCUUGGCGACUGCAUGUGGAUAUACUUAGAACAGUGGUAAAUGUAGUUAAUUGGCGCAGAAGAUUGAAGAAUUCAUGCUUUCUCAUUUCUUUAUUUCUUAGUAGUAUAGGCGGAAAGCUAUAUGCUUGAAGUUGUUUGGGGAUGUCUAUUAUGCAAAUGCAAUAGAUAGAAUAUAUUAUGGAAUUUGAUUCAAAAUAGGAGACAUUUGAGAAUUGGAGGUGAUUGAGAAGAGGUGAACAGCUUGCAUUUCUGGGUCCUCUUUCAACAUUGAUUGAAAACUUGUCAUUGGCGAAUGUCUUAUAGUUAGGAUUUCUCAAAUAAAAUGAAGCAACUGAUUAAAGCAACCAUGUUAAAGGCAGAGCAUGAAGAUUGCAUGUUCAAAAUUAAAAGAUUAUCAAAAUUAUGAUUAAGGUUGUCAUUGAGGAUUGGACAAUGUGUAACUAACUGGCUGAUAUAAUCAAAGAGUAACUAAUUUGGUCCUUAAGGGUUAUAGUUUGCAAGCCUCAUUGUAAAGCUUUUCGCGUAAAUAUAAAUUACUAGAUUU
This 1420-nucleotide unclassified non-coding RNA is filed under the name Hevea brasiliensis (rubber tree). Lineage: Eukaryota; Viridiplantae; Streptophyta; Magnoliopsida; Malpighiales; Euphorbiaceae. The record is from RNAcentral.